This 448-nucleotide unclassified non-coding RNA is filed under the name Hevea brasiliensis (rubber tree). The record is from RNAcentral. Lineage: Eukaryota; Viridiplantae; Streptophyta; Magnoliopsida; Malpighiales; Euphorbiaceae.
AAAAGAAAAAUGGGUAGGUUAAAAUCGAUUACUUCACAGUUCACAACAUUCACCAACAAAAAAGGAGAAGAAGAAAAAGAAAAAGGAGUACCUUCAAGGCUUCAACGGCAGUCGGCAGCGUCCACCGUCCAGUUCGCAACGCGGGUAAGAAUCGCAACACCACCUUUUUCUUCUUUUCUCUCUAAUCUGCCAUAUUAACUCUUUUCUCUCUUAUCAACACUCAACAGAAGAAGAAGAAGAAGCAGAAGAGUGAAUUGAUAGUGGAGGUUUGGAGCGGCGAAGAUUAGGAAGUUUUCUUGGAAGGAAGAGGGCAGGUGAUGGUGAUAUAACCAAAGAGAAAACCAUUCUUGGAGAUUCUCUCUCUCUCUGAAGAAUGGUUCAGCAAUUUAACGGCGGAAAAAUGGAAAUGUGAAUGGAAAGGACCAGUAGAGGGGUGCUGUAGUGGAUU